RNAcentral lists this long non-coding RNA (1221 nucleotides) under Bos indicus x Bos taurus (hybrid cattle). RNAcentral describes it as "lncRNA (ENSBIXG00005030592.1)". Lineage: Eukaryota; Metazoa; Chordata; Mammalia; Artiodactyla; Bovidae. The record is from RNAcentral.
GGAUUCUAUCAGUUUGCUAAAAGAUUUGAUCUUUAAGCUUUAGUUUUCUUUUUUCUUGUAUAAGAAGGGUACAUGUUCCUGCAAGGAAGUCAAAACAUCUUUUUAAACAGAAAAUAUUUAUCGAUAGGCUAUGAAAAGCAGCACCAAAUGAGGCAGACAUUUAGAUUGGGUGUUCCAGUUGUGAGUCAGCCUUAGGGCCAUGGUGAGUGGCUGGGUUCUGUUCAUGUUAUGAAUGGGUUUUGCCUCCUGCUGCCUAGUUUUCUAACUUUGUCUUUAGUGCAAGUUUUCCCGGGUGGACCCACCCAUUCUCGACGAUGUGCGCUGCCUGGUCCUAUUGGAAAAUGCAGAGCUUGCCCAGGUGCAGGCUCAGACAGGUGUGGGGUGGCUCUGCUCCUCCACCCUGAACCAACAUGGCAUCUCCAUGGAGACCACCCCACACACUGAUCUCACGAGGAUAGCCACACCUGAGCACACAACCUUGGGUAGGGACCAGCUUUUCUUUUCUCUUUGGAAAAGAGAAACUGUGUGGGAGAAGGAUGAUUUUACGUGAGUGAAGCGUUCCCUGGCCCUCACACAGCCCAAGGACUAAUGUCUGCACGGGAGGGCGGUGCUCACGGCAGCCUUGGGGAUGAUGCGUGGACCUUCCAGUGGAGCUUGCCUUGGAAACAGGUCUUCCCAGCCUCAAGGAAAUGGCCAGCUGUCUGCCUCUGGCUGUCCUGUUCCCUCAUCACCAGCUUAGAAAGCCUCCAUGGUGUCAUACCGAAUAAAGUCCAGAUUCCUUCACAGGGGACUGCAGGUGGGGAAGACAACAGACUCGAUGGCUUAGCUAAAGCAAGCCUGGUACUUCCCUCAAGCAGCUUGUGGAUUGCAGAUUCCUGCCAGGCCCUCCAGAACCAGCCCAAGGUCUCUUCCCCCAGAUCUGUCUGCUCUCAGCAUUUUCUCCAAAAAGGGGAUGGAAGCCCGAGAACCACAUUUCUGAGAACACUUGCCAUCCAGGUUCCAGGUUGGAUUCUUUCCUGGACUGGUAACUACAUGAGAUUCAGAAGGAAAGUAGCCAAAGCCAUCUCAUUGUCUUUUAACUGGUGGGUAGACUGGUGGGCUUGGAAAGAAGCCAAAGCCAUCUCAUUGUUCUCUAACUGUGGUGGGUAGACUGGUGGGCAAUGGCAGAUGUGAGGUUUUAAAACAACCUCAGAAUUUUCCUGUUUGAGUCAACAAUGUUGG